UACGAAGGGGGCUAGCGUUGCUCGGAAUCACUGGGCGUAAAGCGCACGUAGGCGGGUCUUUAAGUCAGGGGUGAAAUCCUGGAGCUCAACUCCAGAACUGCCUUUGAUACUGAAGAUCUUGAGUUCGGGAGAGGUGAGUGGAACUGCGAGUGUAGAGGUGAAAUUCGUAGAUAUUCGCAAGAACACCAGUGGCGAAGGCGGCUCACUGGCCCGAUACUGACGCUGAGGCACGAAAGCGUGGGGAGCAAACAGGG
RNAcentral lists this ribosomal RNA (254 nucleotides) under uncultured bacterium. Its description in RNAcentral is "partial 16S ribosomal RNA". It matches the Rfam family "Bacterial small subunit ribosomal RNA", at positions 524 to 777 of the family's 1533-position model. The record is from RNAcentral.